This 2926-nucleotide ribosomal RNA is filed under the name Escherichia coli. RNAcentral's name for it is "23S ribosomal RNA". It matches the Rfam family "Bacterial large subunit ribosomal RNA". The record is from RNAcentral. Lineage: Bacteria; Pseudomonadati; Pseudomonadota; Gammaproteobacteria; Enterobacterales; Enterobacteriaceae.
GGGUUGUGAGGUUAAGCGACUAAGCGUACACGGUGGAUGCCCUGGCAGUCAGAGGCGAUGAAGGACGUGCUAAUCUGCGAUAAGCGUCGGUAAGGUGAUAUGAACCGUUAUAACCGGCGAUUUCCGAAUGGGGAAACCCAGUGUGAUUCGUCACACUAUCAUUAACUGAAUUCAUAGGUUAAUGAGGCGAACCGGGGGAACUGAAACAUCUAAGUACCCCGAGGAAAAGAAAUCAACCGAGAUUCCCCCAGUAGCGGCGAGCGAACGGGGAGGAGCCCAGAGCCUGAAUCAGUGUGUGUGUUAGUGGAAGCGUCUGGAAAGGCGCGCGAUACAGGGUGACAGCCCCGUACACAAAAAUGCACAUGCUGUGAGCUCGAUGAGUAGGGCGGGACACGUGGUAUCCUGUCUGAAUAUGGGGGGACCAUCCUCCAAGGCUAAAUACUCCUGACUGACCGAUAGUGAACCAGUACCGUGAGGGAAAGGCGAAAAGAACCCCGGCGAGGGGAGUGAAAAAGAACCUGAAACCGUGUACGUACAAGCAGUGGGAGCCUCUUUAUGGGGUGACUGCGUACCUUUUGUAUAAUGGGUCAGCGACUUAUAUUCUGUAGCAAGGUUAACCGAAUAGGGGAGCCGAAGGGAAACCGAGUCUUAACUGGGCGUUAAGUUGCAGGGUAUAGACCCGAAACCCGGUGAUCUAGCCAUGGGCAGGUUGAAGGUUGGGUAACACUAACUGGAGGACCGAACCGACUAAUGUUGAAAAAUUAGCGGAUGACUUGUGGCUGGGGGUGAAAGGCCAAUCAAACCGGGAGAUAGCUGGUUCUCCCCGAAAGCUAUUUAGGUAGCGCCUCGUGAACUCAUCUCCGGGGGUAGAGCACUGUUUCGGCAAGGGGGUCAUCCCGACUUACCAACCCGAUGCAAACUGCGAAUACCGGAGAAUGUUAUCACGGGAGACACACGGCGGGUGCUAACGUCCGUCGUGAAGAGGGAAACAACCCAGACCGCCAGCUAAGGUCCCAAAGUCAUGGUUAAGUGGGAAACGAUGUGGGAAGGCCCAGACAGCCAGGAUGUUGGCUUAGAAGCAGCCAUCAUUUAAAGAAAGCGUAAUAGCUCACUGGUCGAGUCGGCCUGCGCGGAAGAUGUAACGGGGCUAAACCAUGCACCGAAGCUGCGGCAGCGACGCUUAUGCGUUGUUGGGUAGGGGAGCGUUCUGUAAGCCUGCGAAGGUGUACUGUGAGGUAUGCUGGAGGUAUCAGAAGUGCGAAUGCUGACAUAAGUAACGAUAAAGCGGGUGAAAAGCCCGCUCGCCGGAAGACCAAGGGUUCCUGUCCAACGUUAAUCGGGGCAGGGUGAGUCGACCCCUAAGGCGAGGCCGAAAGGCGUAGUCGAUGGGAAACAGGUUAAUAUUCCUGUACUUGGUGUUACUGCGAAGGGGGGACGGAGAAGGCUAUGUUGGCCGGGCGACGGUUGUCCCGGUUUAAGCGUGUAGGCUGGUUUUCCAGGCAAAUCCGGAAAAUCAAGGCUGAGGCGUGAUGACGAGGCACUACGGUGCUGAAGCAACAAAUGCCCUGCUUCCAGGAAAAGCCUCUAAGCAUCAGGUAACAUCAAAUCGUACCCCAAACCGACACAGGUGGUCAGGUAGAGAAUACCAAGGCGCUUGAGAGAACUCGGGUGAAGGAACUAGGCAAAAUGGUGCCGUAACUUCGGGAGAAGGCACGCUGAUACGUAGGUGAAGUCCCUUGCGGAUGGAGCUGAAAUCAGUCGAAGAUACCAGCUGGCUGCAACUGUUUAUUAAAAACACAGCACUGUGCAAACACGAAAGUGGACGUAUACGGUGUGACGCCUGCCCGGUGCCGGAAGGUUAAUUGAUGGGGUUAGCGGUAACGCGAAGCUCUUGAUCGAAGCCCCGGUAAACGGCGGCCGUAACUAUAACGGUCCUAAGGUAGCGAAAUUCCUUGUCGGGUAAGUUCCGACCUGCACGAAUGGCGUAAUGAUGGCCAGGCUGUCUCCACCCGAGACUCAGUGAAAUUGAACUCGCUGUGAAGAUGCAGUGUACCCGCGGCAAGACGGAAAGACCCCGUGAACCUUUACUAUAGCUUGACACUGAACAUUGAGCCUUGAUGUGUAGGAUAGGUGGGAGGCUUUGAAGUGUGGACGCCAGUCUGCAUGGAGCCGACCUUGAAAUACCACCCUUUAAUGUUUGAUGUUCUAACGUUGGCCCCUAAUCGGGGUUGCGGACAGUGUCUGGUGGGUAGUUUGACUGGGGCGGUCUCCUCCUAAAGAGUAACGGAGGAGCACGAAGGUUGGCUAAUCCUGGUCGGACAUCAGGAGGUUAGUGCAAUGGCAUAAGCCAGCUUGACUGCGAGCGUGACGGCGCGAGCAGGUGCGAAAGCAGGUCAUAGUGAUCCGGUGGUUCUGAAUGGAAGGGCCAUCGCUCAACGGAUAAAAGGUACUCCGGGGAUAACAGGCUGAUACCGCCCAAGAGUUCAUAUCGACGGCGGUGUUUGGCACCUCGAUGUCGGCUCAUCACAUCCUGGGGCUGAAGUAGGUCCCAAGGGUAUGGCUGUUCGCCAUUUAAAGUGGUACGCGAGCUGGGUUUAGAACGUCGUGAGACAGUUCGGUCCCUAUCUGCCGUGGGCGCUGGAGAACUGAGGGGGGCUGCUCCUAGUACGAGAGGACCGGAGUGGACGCAUCACUGGUGUUCGGGUUGUCAUGCCAAUGGCACUGCCCGGUAGCUAAAUGCGGAAGAGAUAAGUGCUGAAAGCAUCUAAGCACGAAACUUGCCCCGAGAUGAGUUCUCCCUGACUCCUUGAGAGUCCUGAAGGAACGUUGAAGACGACGACGUUGAUAGGCCGGGUGUGUAAGCGCAGCGAUGCGUUGAGCUAACCGGUACUAAUGAACCGUGAGGCUUAACCUUACAACGCCGAAG